GGGAUAGAGGGAUCCUUCAGUCGCGGCUUGGUCGGGAGAGCCGCUUGGGGAGUGGGUUGCGCUUUGGUCUUGACCCCACGGGCCGCAACCUUAGCGUAACUGGGCUUUGCAGCCACCCCAUCCUUCAACUCCUUAGUUACAACUCUCUUCUCAGACCGAGACGUCGUCUUCGGCUGAGAACUGGGCUGGGGUCUAGAGCUUGGUCCAGAUCCACCACCCUGUUGCAGACGGUCAACCUGGGCCCGGAGAGAGUUUAUCUCCGCACUCUGAGCGGCCACCAUCUGCGCUAUGCGACUGAACAGAAGCAAAACCUUGCCUCCUACGUCCUUUCGCACCUUAUUAUCGGGAUCACCGAGGAACUCAACGAGCUCCUCUUCCAUCCCAACCAGUUGUUUGUUGCGCACUACUGAACUGGUAAUCCGGGGAUCCGCAGCCAAAGCCGGCUGGGUGGCAGCUUUUCCGACCAAAAAGCCAUCCCCCUUCUCUCCACUCUGCAAGGACCGGGCCUGGUCCUGCCUUUCAUUCUCAACUACUGGGUCAGAAACCACAAACCCAGCAGUCUGCUCGGACUGAGGAGGAACAUCCCCAACCUGGGAAAGCCCCUCCCUCCCCACAUUAUGGAAAGACCGGUCCCGGACCUUCCUUCUCUUUGACGACUUAGGCUGAUACGCCUGAGCCGCCGCCUCGGAUUCGGAGUCGGUCGAAACCUCCUCCGAUUGCGAGAUGGCCCACUUGGUCAUCUUUGCUACUGUUGAGGAACCCACAUGGGUUUCCUCCUGUGAAACAGAGGAAACCGGCAGGGGUUCCUCCGUUUGAUUUUCCGAAAGGUUUACCAAACCCUUCUUACUCUUGCUCCGGGUGAGCCGGAUGUCCGGGGCCUGCAUGGCCUCCCCAUCCUUAAACCCGCUGACCACGGGCUCAGGAAUCCUGUUGUCAACAGGAUUUCCACACACCACAGCCUCACGGCUGUCACUCCACUCCUCCCCUCCUCAUCAUCCGGAAGGAUGACUACACUAGGUAAUGAAUUAAUAGAAGCCAUAACCCACAUUGAACUGACAGGAAGGGAACAGCUUGAGGUAACCUGUCAAUCCCCCAAGCCGGGCCAUAGAACUCCACUGCGAUGGCCUGGUCCAGCGGUGGGCGCCGUUUCUGGUUUCUAACCCUCCACCAUGCAUCCUCUAGGCACGGCCACACACACCAAGGAUUCGGGCCCCCAUUCGUCGCCUCUUACGACCCUCGCAGGGGGAAACGGUAAGCAUAUUCUAAACCCCUGCUUACUGGGGCUGUGACAUCGU
RNAcentral lists this long non-coding RNA (1295 nucleotides) under Androctonus crassicauda. Lineage: Eukaryota; Metazoa; Arthropoda; Arachnida; Scorpiones; Buthidae. The record is from RNAcentral.